UGACUGAGAUUGAGUUCUCAGCAGCGGGCUCAGGCACUUUGAUAUUAUUUACCCUUUUUUGUAAAUAUGUUACUCAAUUUUGCAGGAUACUAAUCAUGUACACUUGAGUCAACUUACUUAUUCUUUUUGAGCAAAUUAUAGUGUUUCAGGCAGGCGUGCGCCGGAAUACAUUAGCAUGGAAUAAUCUUACGGACCGUGUGUGCUGCUCCGGCAGCAUCUCCUUAUUUGUUGGUUUCUUUAAGGACACGGAAUGAUUAAUAGGGAUAGUUGAGGUUUUAUAUCUCACCAGGGGAGGCAUUAGUAUUUAAUUUCCAGAGGUGAAAUUCUUUGAAAUUUGUAAAGACUAACUUAUGCGAAAGCAUUUUUCUUUUCUUUUACUGCCAAGAAUGUUUUUAUUUUAUUUGUUUAUCGAACAGAACGAAAGUUAGGGGAUCAAAGACGAUCAGAUACCGUCCUAGUCUUAACCAUAAACGUUGCCGACUAGGGAUCGGAGGGCGUGCACAUUCCGCCUUCGGCACCUUACGAGAAAUCAUAAGUAUUUUGGGUUCUGGGGGUAGUAUGGUCGCAAGGCUGAAACUUAAAGGAAUUGACGGAAGGGCACCACCAGGAGUGGAGCUUGCGGCUCAAUUUGACUCAACACGGGAAAUCUUACCAGGUCCAGACAUAGGAAGGAAAUUGAC
RNAcentral lists this ribosomal RNA (680 nucleotides) under Euplotes sp. cAcq4. RNAcentral's name for it is "bacterial SSU rRNA". It matches the Rfam family "Eukaryotic small subunit ribosomal RNA", at positions 631 to 1244 of the family's 1831-position model. The record is from RNAcentral. Lineage: Eukaryota; Ciliophora; Spirotrichea; Euplotida; Euplotidae.